RNAcentral lists this transfer RNA (58 nucleotides) under Cricetulus griseus (Chinese hamster). The record is from Rfam by way of RNAcentral. Lineage: Eukaryota; Metazoa; Chordata; Mammalia; Rodentia; Cricetidae.
UGGCUCAGUGGUUAAGAGCACUGAGUGCACUUCCAGAGGACCUGGGUUCAAUUCCCAG